UACGUAGGGCGCAAGCGUUGUCCGGAAUUAUUGGGCGUAAAGAGCUCGUAGGCGGUCUGUUGCGUCCGCUGUGAAAACUCGGGGCUUAACCCCGAGCCUGCAGUGGAUACGGGCAGACUAGAGGUAGGUAGGGGAGAAUGGAAUUCCCGGUGUAGCGGUGAAAUGCGCAGAUAUCGGGAGGAACACCGGUGGCGAAGGCGGUUCUCUGGGCCUUACCUGACGCUCAGGUGCGAAAGCUAGGGGAGCGAACAGG
Molecule: ribosomal RNA, 253 nt
Filed under: uncultured bacterium
Lineage: Bacteria
Description: partial 16S ribosomal RNA
Rfam family: Bacterial small subunit ribosomal RNA
Source: RNAcentral